ACCACAUCAGAUAAGUCACUGGAUAUCUUAUUAUUGAGAGUCCAUACGAAGUGCAUAUGAACUAAAUAAAGAGUCUCUAUACUCAAGGACAUCACUAGCACUUGGUGUAGGAAGAAUGAAAGCUCUUAGUUAUACAUUGUUUGUUGAUGUUGCUAUAUCUAGCUCUACUAAUGUGAUUGGUUUUGGGUCAAUCAUCUUCUCUGCGGAACAAUGAGUGAUGGUAGCGUUAUCAAAACCUCUACAAGGAGAUUUUUUGGUCCUUCAAGCUGAAACGCUUCCUCUGUUGGUAGGAUUGAAUUGGGCUAACACUCUUGGAUUUCCUAUUCAAGUUGUCUAUUCAGACUCUCUCUCAUUAGUGUUGGCUAUCAAUAGUAGUGCAAAGUAUUUUAAUGAAUUAUGUGUAAUCUUUUAUCUUUUCUGACAUUAGAGAUUUAUUAUCUAAAUUUUCGGGGGCCACCUUAUCUCAUGUGUGCAGUAAUUUUAAUUGUGCAGCAUAUGGAUGGAUUUGAUAAACAUGCCUUAGGUUAGACAAUGUGUUUGGAUGUUUCCUUCACCUAUUUUUACCAUUGUUCCUCUUUAAUCAUAAUGGUGAUAUAGUUACCCAUACAAAAAAUAAAAAAUAAAUUAAAUUAAAAAGUAACUACAAAUUUACUUUUCAUACACAGUACAAAAACGACCCAUUCCAAAUAUUUUCUCCAGUGACGGCAUAUACCAAAUUGACCCACUCUUGAUCCUAAAUGACUGGUGUUGUUGGCGGAAAUGGCUUCUAAAGCUACAAAUAUACCCAUGAGCUCACUUGAAAACGAUGACGAUAUAGGCGAAGUGGGUAACUGGGUAAUGUUCUUCUCGAAUAACUCAUUCUAAUGGUACUAGCCCCAAUUCUUCUAGAGUUGGCCGAAAAACAUGGUCAAAAUGUUGCUGGCGUCGCCUUUGAUUGAGGCGUGUGGCGGUGUCCGGCAACAAUUGGCGGUGUAAUUUCGGCAAAAUACUCAUCUGUAGACCCCAUGUGUAUGGAAAUUAUCUACCGAUGGUCAAUGACACUUGUUUGACCGUGAAGAUAGAAAGACAGAAAAUAGAGGAGAAUUAUUUUUGAAUCUGGUACAUACAAUCCGGUGUUUUUUAAAUUAAAAAAGCUAUGGUAUUUUUGUAAUUAAAAUGGAGAAAACAAUAAUAUAUAAUAUUUAUAAGCUCAAAUUUUACUUUGCAUCGAAAUCGAGUGAUGGGUAAUCAGACGGUAGUCUGCUAAGAGCUCUAGAACUUUCUCCAUCCUUUGAGAAAUAGUUUCUCGUUGGUUCUCCGAUUGUACCCAUUUGUCGCUGAGCGUCCACCCAUUUUUCCUGUGCUUAGUGGUGGUUUUCAUUUCUAUUUCUCUUCAUCAAUCUUUUACUGCUAAGGUCUGUAAGUUCCUUUCCCUAUAUUUAUCUCUUUUCCUAUUUGACAAAUUGUAAAGUUUUCUCAGGCUUUUCUCUUAUUUUCCCUCUAUUUUAUUUUUUUGUUUGGCUGUAAUCUAUAAUUAAUGUCAUUUCUCUUCUCUCCAAGUCAUUUUCUUUUGCUUCCUAUGAUUAUUCCUAAGAUUGGGGAUUCUAAAGCUCUAUUUUGUUGUUAAUUUGAGGCACCAUUACUAGUCAAUCCUAAGAUUAUUCCUCUUAGUUUUCUCUUCUUAAGGAUGAAUUUUAUUAGCUGGAAUGCCCGUGGAUUGGGUAAUCCUAGGGCAAUUAGAAAACUAACCCUACUAGUCAAGCAAUAUCGACCUACUCUUUUGUACCUCAUGGAAACUAGGCUAGUUGCUGGUACUGUACAUAGGCUUAAAAGAUUGUUGAAUUUUGAAAAUGGUAUAGAAGUCCCUAGGAAGCAUUUUGGAGGGGGUUUAAUCCUUUUGUGGAAACAUGAGAUUAAUGUUAAAAUACUUUCUUAUUCUGUAAAUCAUAUAGAUUGCUUUGUUUCUCUUCAUGGUAAUGUUAUGUGGCAUUUUACUGCUUUUUAUGGAGCUCCUUUAUCUAUCGAUAGACUGUAACUUGGACCCUUUUAAAUCAACUUUUUGAUGUUGCUUCGAGUUUAUCGUGGCUUAUAUUAGGAUAUUUUAAUGCUUAUCUGUUCACCUCUGAUAAAUUAGGAGGUAAUUUAGCUAAUAAUAAUACUAUGGCUUCUUUUAAUAGUUUUAUUGAUAAAUAUUCUCUUUUUCGGCUUCCGUUUGUUGGUCCUAAAUUUGCUUGGAAUAAUAAUUUUGUUUAUGAACAACUUGAUUGGGGUGUUGCUAAUGCUUCUUGGUGUGAUCUUUUUCCCCAAGCCUCUCUUUUUCAUUUAGGAUAUUUGGGAUCUGAUCAUAUAGUGCUUAGAAUAGUAUUCCAAGAUUCUGUUUUGUUUAAGUCUUACUUUAAUAAUAAACGUUUCAUGUUUGAUAAUAACUGGCUUGUUGAACCAUCUUUUUUUACUACUAUUAGGGGUACUUGGUCUUCUUUUAAUUUGCAUGUAAAUAUGAAUUCAGAGUCUAAUGAUAAUAGUCCUAAUUCUAUCUCUCUUUUUUGGCUAAGCAGCAGGCUUGUGUCUCUGCCUUAAAAGUUUGGAGUCGUUCAAAUUUUGGUAUUUUUAAAACUAAGCUUAACUCACUGUAUAAAGAUCUAGAUAAAUUACAAUCUAAAGUGCCUUUUACUUCUCAAACUAUUUCUAAUAUAAAAGUUAUUCAGUCUCAGAUCAAUGUUUUGUUAUUUAAGGAGGAGUUUUAUUGGCAUCAAAGAUCUAGGAUUUCUUGGUUAAAAGCUGGAGAUAAAAAAUACUAAGUUUUUUCAUUCUGAGGCUUCUAAGUGUCAUCGCACUAAUCUUAUUAGGUCUCUUACUUUAGAUAAUGGUAAUGUUGUUACUUAUGAAUAUGAUAUUGCUAAUGCCGCUAUAGAUUAUUUUUCUUCCAUUUUUAUUUCUCAGGGCACUAAUGAUGUAGAUGUUACUACUUUACUUACUGGUAUCUUUGUUUCUAUUUCCGCCGAAGAUUUUGCUAAUCUUGAUAGUGUUUUUACUGCUGAAGAAGUUAAAAUAGCCUUGUUUCAACUCUCUCGGGAUAAGGCCCUUGGCCUUGAUGGUUUUAAUGCUUAUUUUUAUCAGAAAAAUUGGGAUACACUUGGUCUUGAUAUGGUUAGGGUUGUUUUAGCUUUUCAUGCUGAUAUUUCUGCUAUUAAUACUACUCUUAUUGUACUUAUUCCUAAAAAUAAAAAAUGCACAUAUUUUGAAAGACUUUCAUCCUAUUAGUUUAUGCUCCACUUUAUAUAAAGUGAUUUCUAGA
Molecule: long non-coding RNA, 3274 nt
Organism: Humulus lupulus (European hop)
Lineage: Eukaryota; Viridiplantae; Streptophyta; Magnoliopsida; Rosales; Cannabaceae
Exons: 2
Source: RefSeq, a predicted model, not a curated record